AAAUUUUGCUUUCAGCAAUUUUCCAUUUUUUUCAGCAUACUUAUAUCACAAUGAGGCAACCAAAUAUGAAUCCUGAGAAUGAAGAUGGAAAAUGAAUAUUUUAAUCCAAUAUCGAGUUGUUCUUUCAACAUUUUUAGUUUUAGUUUUAACUGAAAAUAUAAAGUUACAUAAUUGUGUGAGGAAUAAUUUUUGCAGAGAAAUUUUUAAAAAUUCACAAAAGGAAAAAGAAACCUUUACCAUGAGUCUAUAACAUUGAAAGACUGUGUUUAAGUGAUUUUAAUAAAGCCAAACCAACACUUUCAGCAGGAACUAAAUGGCAGCAUCUGAUUUCACGCUGAUACAUAUGUAUUAGUGUGGUGCUCACUUUUACCCUUCAUUUUACCUUGGGUCUUGCCAUUUUCUUUCUAUUUUUACGUUUUUUUUUUUUUUUUUCUUUUGGAAGAGGUAAUUUUUAGGGAGAAAAAAACACUUUUUCCUCAUAGGUCGAUUUAAAAUGUUGGCCUUACCUUAAUCUCCUCUCUCAAACUCAAUCCACUAUGUAAUGGGUCAACAUACUUUUCUGUGAAGGACCAGAUAGUAAAUAUUUUAGUCUUUGCAGGCCAUAUGGUCUCUGUUGCCAGCUCUUCCAUUGUGGUGUGAAAGCAGCCAUAGACAACACAGAAAUGAAUAAGUGUAACUGUUCCAAUAAAAACAGAUGAUAUGUUGAAUUUAGCUCACAGAGUUUAGCUUGCUGCCCCUGCAGGAGGCCUUUGGAGUAAAAGCUUCCUGAGAGGAGGAAUUUUUGUCUUUUUUGCUCAAGUUCUAGCUCCAGUACCUAAAAUAGUGCCUGUCACGUAGGUAUUGAUGAAUAUUUGAACCUGUUGAACAUACACCUAAAAUAAAACAUUUGGCAAGAUACAGUACUACACAAUUUGGAAAACACUUGGCUCCCAUAGAAAUCAAAGCCUUCCUGAGUAAUUAAUUAUUUGGCCUGAUGAUGAAUUACUGUGCCUGAGAUGAUAGAGCUAAUUUAUUUUUCAAUUCACUCAGGGGACACACGUUAUUUUCACUGUGAAUUUGGUUAAAAUGAAAAGAUUUCCUGCUCUAAGUCCUGGAUAGACCUUUAUGUAAUAGCAUACUCUUCACUCUUUUUGAAUCGCAUGCAGUUGUCACACUGGAUGAUUUCCAGACAGAGGUUCCAAGUCUUUCAUCAUGUUUGGGUUAAAGGCCUCAUUAACAUACUAGUCCUGCCAUUUGAGUCUGUUCUCUUCACGGAAUAUUUUCACCUGAAUCAGUGGGUAUAAUUCAUCAGUGUCUGGUUGCUUCAAGUUAUUUUUCUUAAUGCUGAUGUUAAUGCAUGCCCAUCUUUAUGCCUCAACACAUUGCACAAUGAAAAACAAAAAUUAUUUUGGAAGACACAGCUGACAUCUAUAUGAAAUAUUCAGUAUCAGUGAUUGAACUUCAGCAAGCUCCUGUGGCCAGCAGGGUUUUACGGAGGUGCAACUGCUCUCCCAUGAUCACUUAUCAUAAAGCCAGAGACAAUUGGGCCAACGUAGCAUCUUGCCUGCUUUUGUGUACAAAAUAUAAAUAGAAUAGAGCAAACAAGGAAAAAUAGUCCCGCAGCUGGAAGGCAACUUUAAAGAAAAAUGAUGUUCAUAGCUAUCUUGCCAGUAGCUGGCAAAGCAGUUUUUAUAAGACAUAUUUAAUGUUUACAACCACUUGGAGGCUGGGGAAGGAGUAAUACUUUGCAAAUAUGUUUAAUGUUGUGAACCACUCUGUGGCCGAGAAGCAACUCCGGCUAAAAUAUAUUUAAUGCUUAGAGUCAUUUGGUGGUUUCGAAAAAAAAGAAACUUCUUGUUAAUUUUUAACAUUUAUUGCUGAUCAGUGGCUGCUAAAGUAACUAUCAGUACAGCAUGGUUUAUGUUUAGGGACACGCUGUGCUGCUACUAACACAAUUCAUACUCUUCUCUCAAGGCUACACAAAAAGUGUCAAUAGCAUUACCUUUGCAAUUGCACCACUAAUAAAAACACAGGAAUCAAACAGACGAAUAAAAUGCUCCCUGCCCACACAGCCAUAACAUCCUAUGGCCCUGAAAAUAGUCCUGCCAAACUGCGUGCAGUGGACACUUCACGGCUGGCACAGGAGAGAUCACAAGGCCUUGCUCAAUUUCAUCAAAAGUGUUAAAGCGACUCAGCAGAUUGUGAAGCACAAGUGGAAGCUGAUAAUUGGUGUUUCUUACAAAUCAACGGCUUGUCUCCACACAUCAAGGUGAGAAAAUCAAUGUAAAAGAGGAGAAAUAACCCACACAACUACAUACAACUAGGAAAUGAUAGUUGGAUCUGAACAAAAGGAUAUGCACUCUUAACAAGUUCAACAUCCAAGUACUAUUGCAAGUACAAGCUGUAUUUCAUGGAAAAA
RNAcentral lists this long non-coding RNA (2398 nucleotides) under Homo sapiens (human). Its description in RNAcentral is "HSALNT0325637". Lineage: Eukaryota; Metazoa; Chordata; Mammalia; Primates; Hominidae. The record is from RNAcentral.